CCCUGAGGGUUCUUGCAGCAGCCCAACAUGGUUGCCAUGGAUUGGGUUUUCUAGGUGUCCCCGAGGGGAAAGACGGCGGCACCAUCCUGUCCGGAGUCACCAGGCUGUUGCUGAGGUAGCCG
Molecule: long non-coding RNA, 122 nt
Filed under: Felis catus (domestic cat)
Lineage: Eukaryota; Metazoa; Chordata; Mammalia; Carnivora; Felidae
Description: lncRNA (ENSFCAG00000050111.1)
Source: RNAcentral